Pelobates cultripes (western spadefoot toad) is the source of this 531-nucleotide non-coding RNA. NCBI's taxonomy places the organism in Eukaryota, Metazoa, Chordata, Amphibia, Anura, Pelobatidae. The record is from the annotation of a GenBank genome assembly.
CUAGGAUGUAGAGUGAGGUCCAAUCAAUUGUGUACCGAUGAAGCAUGCUGUAUUCAAGAGUGUCACUUCAUCAGAUAAGUGGUGAUGAAGGUUAGUCCCCAUCCGGUCCGGUCACCGUCUCCUGUCUCAUGUUUUCCUGGGCUGGAAUGCCCCUUCGAAGGCCUUAGUUGCAGGAGUAAAAUUACUAAACAUUUAUACCAAAUAAUGGUAGCGGCCAAUGUAACUAACGAAAUGGCCCACCCCUAAACGUACACACAUAAUGACGUGGUAAUGUCACAUCGUGCGUUCUCACAUCAUGCGUGGUGACAUCAUUAAAACCAACUUUAUUGUUCAAACACAACAUACAAUACAGUUCUAUAUAUGUAAGAGUUUAACAUUAAUAUUGUUAUUUCUAUUAUUAAGCCUUAAAUGAGAGUGCAAAGGGGAUUGUAAGGAAUAGAUACUAAAAAGAAUGCACUAAAUACAAAUGGAGAGUUAUUAUAUCUUUCAAGGAACUAGCACACAUAAAUAAAUAUUGCAACCAAAAAACCG